This 160-nucleotide unclassified non-coding RNA is filed under the name uncultured Ascomycota. RNAcentral's name for it is "sequence contains ITS2". Lineage: Eukaryota; Fungi; Ascomycota. The record is from RNAcentral.
UCAACCCUCAAGCUUGGCUUGUUGUUGGAUCACCUCCCUGUGAAGGGGAUGGAUCCCAAAGACAAUGACGGAGUCGGUUGAACCCGAGAUGCAACGAGCUUUCAAUAGCACGCAUCAGAAAGGAUCGACCGUUCUGGUCUCAACCAUAUUACUUUUCUAA